UCUCUAGUGACCGAUAGUGAACCAGUACCGUGAGGGAAAGGUGAAAAGCACCCCGGAAGGGGAGUGAAAUAGAACCUGAAACCGUAUGCUUACAAGUAGUCAGAGCCCGUUAAUGGGUGAUGGCGUGCCUUUUGUAGAAUGAACCGGCGAGUUACGAUUUGAUGCAAGGUUAAGCAGUAAAUGUGGAGCCGUAGCGAAAGCGAGUCUGAAUAGGGCGUUUAGCAUUUGGUCGUAGACCCGAAACCAGGUGAUCUACCCUUGGUCAGGUUGAAGUUCAGGUAACACUGAAUGGAGGACCGAACCGACUUACGUUGAAAAGUGAGCGGAUGAACUGAGGGUAGCGGAGAAAUUCCAAUCGAACCUGGAGAUAGCUGGUUCUCUCCGAAAUAGCUUUAGGGCUAGCCUCAAGUGAUGAUUAUUGGAGGUAGAGCACUGUUUGGACGAGGGGCCCCUCUCGGGUUACCGAAUUCAGACAAACUCCGAAUGCCAAUUAAUUUAACUUGGGAGUCAGAACAUGGGUGAUAAGGUCCGUGUUCGAAAGGGAAACAGCCCAGACCACCAGCUAAGGUCCCAAAAUAUAUGUUAAGUGGAAAAGGAUGUGGCGUUGCCCAGACAACUAGGAUGUUGGCUUAGAAGCAGCCAUCAUUUAAAGAGUGCGUAAUAGCUCACUAGUCGAGUGACACUGCGCCGAAAAUGUACCGGGGCUAAACAUAUUACCGAAGCUGUGGAUUGUCCUUUGGACAAUGGUAGGAGAGCGUUCUAAGGGCGUUGAAGCAUGAUCGUAAGGACAUGUGGAGCGCUUAGAAGUGAGAAUGCCGGUGUGAGUAGCGAAAGACGGGUGAGAAUCCCGUCCACCGAUUGACUAAGGUUUCCAGAGGAAGGCUCGUCCGCUCUGGGUUAGUCGGGUCCUAAGCUGAGGCCGACAGGCGUAGGCGAUGGAUAACAGGUUGAUAUUCCUGUACCACCUAUAAUCGUUUUAAUCGAUGGGGGGACGCAGUAGGAUAGGCGAAGCGUGCGAUUGGAUUGCACGUCUAAGCAGUAAGGCUGAGUAUUAGGCAAAUCCGGUACUCGUUAAGGCUGAGCUGUGAUGGGGAGAAGACAUUGUGUCUUCGAGUCGUUGAUUUCACACUGCCGAGAAAAGCCUCUAGAUAGAAAAUAGGUGCCCGUACCGCAAACCGACACAGGUAGUCAAGAUGAGAAUUCUAAGGUGAGCGAGCGAACUCUCGUUAAGGAACUCGGCAAAAUGACCCCGUAACUUCGGGAGAAGGGGUGCUCUUUAGGGUUAACGCCCAGAAGAGCCGCAGUGAAUAGGCCCAAGCGACUGUUUAUCAAAAACACAGGUCUCUGCUAAACCGUAAGGUGAUGUAUAGGGGCUGACGCCUGCCCGGUGCUGGAAGGUUAAGAGGAGUGGUUAGCUUCUGCGAAGCUACGAAUCGAAGCCCCAGUAAACGGCGGCCGUAACUAUAACGGUCCUAAGGUAGCGAAAUUCCUUGUCGGGUAAGUUCCGACCCGCACGAAAGGCGUAACGAUUUGGGCACUGUCUCAACGAGAGACUCGGUGAAAUCAUAGUACCUGUGAAGAUGCAGGUUACCCGCGACAGGACGGAAAGACCCCGUGGAGCUUUACUGUAGCCUGAUAUUGAAAUUCGGCACAGCUUGUACAGGAUAGGUAGGAGCCUUUGAAACGUGAGCGCUAGCUUACGUGGAGGCGCUGGUGGGAUACUACCCUAGCUGUGUUGGCUUUCUAACCCGCACCACUUAUCGUGGUGGGAGACAGUGUCAGGCGGGCAGUUUGACUGGGGCGGUCGCCUCCUAAAAGGUAACGGAGGCGCUCAAAGGUUCCCUCAGAAUGGUUGGAAAU
RNAcentral lists this ribosomal RNA (1860 nucleotides) under Staphylococcus aureus PA11. RNAcentral's name for it is "bacterial LSU rRNA". It matches the Rfam family "Bacterial large subunit ribosomal RNA", at positions 474 to 2338 of the family's 2925-position model. Lineage: Bacteria; Bacillati; Bacillota; Bacilli; Caryophanales; Staphylococcaceae. The record is from RNAcentral.